CGAGAAGAUUAGCAUGGCCAUUGCGCAAGGAUGACACUCAAAUUCGUGAAGCGUUCCAAAUUUUU
RNAcentral lists this small nuclear RNA (65 nucleotides) under Caenorhabditis briggsae. Lineage: Eukaryota; Metazoa; Nematoda; Chromadorea; Rhabditida; Rhabditidae. The record is from RNAcentral.